Molecule: ribosomal RNA, 755 nt
Filed under: uncultured bacterium
Lineage: Bacteria
Description: bacterial SSU rRNA
Rfam family: Bacterial small subunit ribosomal RNA
Source: RNAcentral
UAGAGUUUGAUCCUGGCUCAGGACGAACGCUGGCGGCGCGCCUAACACAUGCAAGUCGAACGGUGAAAUGAAGCUUGCUUCAUGGAUCAGUGGCGGACGGGUGAGUAACACGUGAGCAACCUGCCUUUCAGAGGGGGACAACAGUUGGAAACGACUGCUAAUACCGCAUAACGUGCCGAGGAGGCAUCUUCUUGGUACCAAAGAUUUAUCGCUGAAAGAUGGGCUCGCGUCUGAUUAGAUAGUUGGUGAGGUAACGGCCCACCAAGUCGACGAUCAGUAGCCGGACUGAGAGGUUGAUCGGCCACAUUGGGACUGAGACACGGCCCAGACUCCUACGGGAGGCAGCAGUGGGGAAUAUUGGACAAUGGGGGAAACCCUUAUCCAGCGACGCCGCGUGAGGGAAGAAGGUUUUCGGAUUGUAAACCUCUGUCAGCGGGGACGAUAAUGACGGUACCCGCGGAGGAAGCCACGGCUAACUACGUGCCAGCAGCCGCGGUAAUACGUAGGUGGCAAGCGUUGUCCGGAAUUACUGGGUGUAAAGGGAGCGUAGGCGGGAUGUCAAGUCAGAAGUGAAAAUUACGGGCUCAACUCGUAACCUGCUUUUGAAACUGAUAUUCUUGAGUGAAGUAGAGGCAAGCGGAAUCCCUAGUGUAGCGGCGAAAUGCGUAGAUAUUAGGAGGAACACCAGUGGCGAAGGCGGCUUGCUGGGCUUUUACUGACGCUGAGGCUCGAAAGCGUGGGGAGCAAACAGGAUU